CUUGAUCGAACCGAUCCACAGCGGCUCGGACCGGUCCUGGCCGUAGGUGGCCAGCAAGGCCUGCGCCUC
This 69-nucleotide antisense RNA is filed under the name Kutzneria viridogrisea DSM 43870. RNAcentral describes it as "Kutzneria albida DSM 43870 ASpks TB sRNA". It matches the Rfam family "ASpks TB sRNA". The record is from Rfam by way of RNAcentral. Lineage: Bacteria; Bacillati; Actinomycetota; Actinomycetes; Pseudonocardiales; Pseudonocardiaceae.